Molecule: ribosomal RNA, 129 nt
Filed under: Periophthalmus magnuspinnatus
Lineage: Eukaryota; Metazoa; Chordata; Actinopteri; Gobiiformes; Gobiidae
Source: RNAcentral
UUUCAUAGCAGCAGACCUGCACUGGGCUUUCACUGAUCUUGUCAGAGGGAAUCUCAGAAGCUAAGCAGAUGUGGGCCUGGUUAGUACUUGCAUGGGAGACCACUGGAGUACCACAUGCCACUGUGGGGU